UACGUAGGUGGCAAGCGUUGUUCGGAAUUAUUGGGCGUAAAGGGCGCGUAGGCGGUUUGUUAAGUCGGUCGUGAAAGCCCGGGGCUCAACCCCGGAGGGUCGACCGAUACUGGCAGACUAGAGUACAGAAGAGGUAACUGGAAUUCCCGGUGUAGCGGUGAAAUGCGCAGAUAUCAGGAGGAACACCGAUGGCGAAGGCAGUGAUCUGGGCCAGUACUGACGCUGAGGAGCGAAAGCGUGGGUAGCAAACAGG
RNAcentral lists this ribosomal RNA (253 nucleotides) under uncultured bacterium. RNAcentral's name for it is "partial 16S ribosomal RNA". It matches the Rfam family "Bacterial small subunit ribosomal RNA", at positions 524 to 776 of the family's 1533-position model. The record is from RNAcentral.